CAGGGUUAAAAAGUGGUGUUCACCAUAUGUGGGUCCGUUUGUGGUUCACAUAGAAAACAUAUUAGGAGUUAUCAUGAUACUAUUAAAUGAUGUUCUAUUAAUUUCAUUUAUUAUAAGAUAUAUGUAUUAACCGUACUUAUCAAUAGUAGAUAGUAUGUCUAUUGUGUGAAUGAGUAGGCGUAGGCCAUUGGUAUCUAGGCAUGCGCACUAACGGUGUGUCUAUUGGUCAGGAGGUCAUGACACCGGGGGGUAGGUGUGUCGGGUAUACUGUUGAUCUCCUAUCGGGCAUAUAUAUCGACCCCCAGUGCUGAAUGAUCACAGCCCUGAUCCUCCAAACGUCUGAGGUGCUAGGCUAAGCUAGUAGACUCGUCAUAGCGGCUGCAGAAAAAAAAAAAAAAAAAAAAAGAGAAGAAAAACAGCGACCCAACCUGCGCAACUAUGCCUACUGACUGUAAGUAUUCAUAUGAGUGUAAUAUAUUAUUAUUAUUAUUAUAUCAUGACUAUGACCAUGCGUAUACGCGGCCCAUAUCUGAUUGAUACAGUUUUUCCGCAGUGAUUUCUGGCGUCGGCAAUGAGAGCGUGAAAAAGCAGCGGGAUCCACGUGCACCAGGUUCACAUGAUAUUCGGUUGAAUAAUCAAAGAACGAUACUCGGCGAUUGGACCAAUGUGGGGGCCAGCUGUAGUUAUGUGCCUAUCGUGGAUAGUGUGAAACAGUGGACCCCUGGAGCAAACCGUCUAUCCAAGAAAAAUCUCAAAAGACCAAACCUAGGACCGGCUCUACCCUGCUCUCCGCUAACAGUGUCGCAACCACAGAUUCCGUAUAAAAAGGGGCGCAAGGACACCGCUCAUAGUGUUUUAACUCCAGAGAAUUUUAACUUGGUUCUCCAUGCUGUCAUAAACCCUAAAAUCGUCCACCACGGGGGUGGAUGGUCUGAGUCCAAACAGCCGGUGAUUGAGACGUCGGUUGUGCAUGUGUCUGAGCCGCCUACAGAGACCGUUACUGUACAGCCGGAUGGAGGCAUUCAGCAUGUCCUUGGAGACCCUCAGUAUGCACCACUACCAGAACUGACCGAUGAGGAUCUCGAGGGUCUUGCCGACAUUCCGUUGUGGCCCUCAUCGCUGUUGGAACAGCUCGACUUCACUCCCGCUCAUUGGAUAGACCCUCCAGCUACUUCCGUAGGGGGUACCGCCAGUGCAGAACCUGUAAACCAUCAGCCUGCAGCCCCCGCCUCUGGAUCACUACCCAUCAUCCAGGACCUAUCCACGACCCACCAGGCACUGUGAGUCCCUACGCCUACGGUGCAGUGGCUACGCUGCUACCAGUCGGCUCAGCGGUUGCUGAUGAAUACAUUUCGGGUGGGCCAUGUAUCAACUGUUGUAAAGAAUGUGUUGAUAAAUUAACCUUGGUAACUACAGCGGCUGAUGUAAAUUCCUUAACCAUUGGUCGUCAGUGUAAACUGGGUGCAUUGUCUGUGAAACGUAUUGACUGCAGAUUUCAGGCUAUCGAAGAGCAAACGAAGCAGUCACUCAAGACACUCGGGGCCAUCAAGGCCGAUCUAGUGCGUUAUGGGCUGGCUAUAGAAUCAAUACAGCAGAAGAAUUUGGCUGUCGAGGCAGCAGUGCGUGUUAACACUCUGGCUAUGGAUAGGGGGCCUAAGAUAUCUAAAAUAGCUCAGAAAAUUUGGCUAAUUGAAGCUACGGCGCAGGAUAACAUCAGGGCCUACAAGGGCAUGUCUGCCCAGAUGACUGUUAAUAAUGCUCUGGAUAAGCUUUCGAUGAAUCGUUAGUAUUU
Long non-coding RNA from Gadus macrocephalus (Pacific cod), 1792 nucleotides. RefSeq lists it as uncharacterized. The transcript has 4 exons. Lineage: Eukaryota; Metazoa; Chordata; Actinopteri; Gadiformes; Gadidae. The record is from RefSeq and is a predicted model, not a curated record.